Dichomitus squalens LYAD-421 SS1 is the source of this 98-nucleotide transfer RNA. It matches the Rfam family "tRNA". From Rfam's summary of the family: Transfer RNA (tRNA) molecules are approximately 80 nucleotides in length. Their secondary structure includes four short double-helical elements and three loops (D, anti-codon, and T loops). NCBI's taxonomy places the organism in Eukaryota, Fungi, Basidiomycota, Agaricomycetes, Polyporales, Polyporaceae. The record is from Rfam.
GGCCGACUAGCUCAGUUGGUUAGAGCGUGGUGCUAAUAUAGUGACAACUCCGGUUCCACGACACGCCAAGGUCGUCGGUUCGAUCCCGGCGUUGGCCA